RNAcentral lists this small nuclear RNA (108 nucleotides) under Panthera pardus (leopard). The record is from RNAcentral. Lineage: Eukaryota; Metazoa; Chordata; Mammalia; Carnivora; Felidae.
GUGCUUACGUUGGCAGCACACAUAUUAAAAUUGAAACAAUGCAGAGAAGACUAACAUGACCCCUGCACAAGGAUGACACUCAAAUUUCUUGAAGUGUCCCAUAUUUUC